RNAcentral lists this long non-coding RNA (422 nucleotides) under Nicotiana benthamiana. RNAcentral describes it as "long non-coding RNA (NBEN_LNC031844)". The record is from RNAcentral. Lineage: Eukaryota; Viridiplantae; Streptophyta; Magnoliopsida; Solanales; Solanaceae.
GCAGAAAACAUCCAAAGAAAAUACAUAAAUGACUAGACUACUGUAAAGAAUAUUUCUCGAACAUGGAGUCAAUCCAUGGUGAUGAUAUUAUGUCAUUCAAAUGUUGUUACAUCUAAUAAUGGCAAAAUUAAUACCUUAAUAGCAUCAAACACAAAAUAGAAAAGAGAAAAUAAAUCUCUACUUUGAAGAAGUGUAGCCAUAAAUUAGAUUCAACCAACAGCUUGACUACAUAGUAGCAAACAAUAGAGAUUGAAGCUAAAAUGAACUUUAGAAACCAGAACGUUGAAGCCCAAUACCUAUGAACAAAGAUAACUGAAGAUUCUUUUUUGUUUUCUGAUAUUUUUCUGAAAUUGGAAGGCUGGAAUUCCAGAUUUUUUAUGAGAAAAUGAGAAUAAAAAUAAGUCAAGAGGAAUAUCUCUGAA